CGACUUGGAGGUUGUGCCCUUGAGGCGUGGCUUCCGGAGCUAACGCGUUAAGUCGACCGCCUGGGGAGUACGGCCGCAAGGUUAAAACUCAAAUGAAUUGACGGGGGCCCGCACAAGCGGUGGAGCAUGUGGUUUAAUUCGAUGCAACGCGAAGAACCUUACCUACUCUUGACAUCCAGAGAACUUUCCAGAGAUGGAUUGGUGCCUUCGGGAACUCUGAGACAGGUGCUGCAUGGCUGUCGUCAGCUCGUGUUGUGAAAUGUUGGGUUAAGUCCCGCAACGAGCGCAACCCUUAUCCUUUGUUGCCAGCGGUCCGGCCGGGAACUCAAAGGAGACUGCCGGUGGUAAACUGGAGGAAGGUGGGGAUGACGUCAAGUCAUCAUGGCCCUUACGAGUAGGGCUACACACGUGCUACAAUGGCGCAUACAAAGAGAAGCGACCUCGCGAGAGCAAGCGGACCUCAUAAAGUGCGUCGUAGUCCGGAUUGGAGUCUGCAACUCGACUCCAUGAAGUCGGAAUCGCUAGUAAUCGUAGAUCAGAAUGCUACGGUGAAUACGUUCCCGGGCCUUGUACACACCGCCCGUCACACCAUGGGAGUGGGUUGCAAAAGAAGUAGGUAGCUUAACCUUCGUGAGGGCGCUUACCACUUUGUGAUUCGUGACUGGGGUGAAGUCGUAACAAGGUAAC
Molecule: ribosomal RNA, 687 nt
Filed under: uncultured bacterium
Lineage: Bacteria
Description: bacterial SSU rRNA
Rfam family: Bacterial small subunit ribosomal RNA
Source: RNAcentral